GGCGUGGUGGCAGAGUGGUCUAAUGCGCAAGACUCGAAUUCAUUGAUUCGUGCAUAUCUUGUCUCUUCGGAGGCGUCGGUUCAAAUCCGGCCCACGUCG
This is a non-coding RNA of Rhypophila decipiens, 99 nucleotides long. NCBI's taxonomy places the organism in Eukaryota, Fungi, Ascomycota, Sordariomycetes, Sordariales, Naviculisporaceae. The record is from the annotation of a GenBank genome assembly.